AGUGAACGCUGGCGGCGUGCCUAACACAUGCAAGUCGGACGGGCUCCGGGUAGCAAUAUCCGGGGCCAGUGGCGAACGGGUGAGUAACACGUGGGUAACCUGCCCUCGAGUGGGGAAUAAGCUCCCGAAAGGGGGUCUAAUACCGCAUAACGUUUCAUGGCGAUGGUCAUGAAACCAAAGCCCAAAAGGCGCUCGAGGAGGGGCCUGCGGCCUAUCAGCUAGUUGGUAGGGUAAUGGCCUACCAAGGCUACGACGGGUAGCCGGCCUGAGAGGGUGUCCGGCCACACUGGGACUGAGACACGGCCCAGACUCCUACGGGAGGCAGCAGUGGGGAAUUUUGCGCAAUGGGGGAAACCCUGACGCAGCGACGCCGCGUGGAGGAUGAAGGCCUUCGGGUUGUAAACUCCUGUCAGAGGGGACGAAAUCCCGCAAGGGACUGACGGUACCCUCAGAGGAAGCCCCGGCUAACUACGUGCCAGCAGCCGCGGUAAUACGU
This 496-nucleotide ribosomal RNA is filed under the name uncultured Aminicenantes bacterium. RNAcentral's name for it is "bacterial SSU rRNA". It matches the Rfam family "Bacterial small subunit ribosomal RNA", at positions 30 to 528 of the family's 1533-position model. The record is from RNAcentral. Lineage: Bacteria; Candidatus Aminicenantota.